GUAGGGGGCAAGCGUUAUCCGGAUUUACUGGGUGUAAAGGGAGCGUAGACGGCUGUGCAAGUCUGAAGUGAAAGCCCGGGGCUCAACCCCGGGACUGCUUUGGAAACUGUAUAGCUAGAGUGCUGGAGAGGUAAGUGGAAUUCCUAGUGUAGCGGUGAAAUGCGUAGAUAUUAGGAGGAACACCAGUGGCGAAGGCGGCUUACUGGACAGUGACUGACGUUGAGGCUCGAAAGCGUGGGGAGCAAACAGGAUUAGAUACCCUGGUAGUCCGCGCCGUAAACGAUGACUACUAGGUGUCGGGUGGCAAAGCCAUUCGGUGCCGCAGCAAACGCAAUAAGUAGUCCACCUGGGGAGU
This 355-nucleotide ribosomal RNA is filed under the name uncultured bacterium. RNAcentral's name for it is "bacterial SSU rRNA". It matches the Rfam family "Bacterial small subunit ribosomal RNA", at positions 527 to 881 of the family's 1533-position model. The record is from RNAcentral.